RNAcentral lists this ribosomal RNA (601 nucleotides) under uncultured bacterium. RNAcentral's name for it is "bacterial SSU rRNA". It matches the Rfam family "Bacterial small subunit ribosomal RNA", at positions 735 to 1337 of the family's 1533-position model. The record is from RNAcentral.
CGCGACUGACGCUCAUGCACGAAAGCGUGGGUAUCGAACAGGAUUAGAUACCCUGGUAGUCCACGCGGUAAACGAUGAUAACUAGUUAUUCGGCGCGAUUGAGUGCUGAGUGACCGAGCGAAAGCGUUAAGUUAUCCACCUGGGGAGUACGCCGGCAACGGUGAAACUCAAAGGAAUUGACGGGGGCCCGCACAAGCGGAGGAACAUGUGGUUUAAUUCGAUGAUACGCGAGGAACCUUACCCGGGCUCAAACGCAUGGCGCUACACCCUGAAAGGGGUGGUUCUUCGGACGUCAUGCGAGGUGCUGCAUGGUUGUCGUCAGCUCGUGCCGUGAGGUGUCGGCUUAAGUGCCAUAACGAGCGCAACCCCCAUCUUCAGUUGCCCCCGGGUUAAGCCGGGCACUCUGGAGAGACUGCCGGCGCAAGCUGUGAGGAAGGCGGGGAUGACGUCAAAUCAGCACGGCCCUUACGUCCGGGGCGACACACGUGUUACAAUGGCGGGGCUACAGAGGGAAGCCAGGCGGCGACGCCGAGCUGAUCCCGAAAACCCGUCUCAGUUCGGAUCGGAGUCUGCAACCCGACUCCGUGAAGCUGGAUCGCUA